AACAGAUUUACUUCGGUAAUGACGUUAGGAAAGCGAGCGGCGGAUGGGUGAGUAACACGUGGGGAACCUGCCCCAUAGUCUGGGGUACCACUUGGAAACAGGUGCUAAUACCGGAUAAGAAAGCAGAUCGCAUGAUCAGCUUUUAAAAGGCGGCGUAAGCUGUCGCUAUGGGAUGGCCCCGCGGUGCAUUAGCUAGUUGGUAAGGUAAAGGCUUACCAAGGCGAUGAUGCAUAGCCGAGUUGAGAGACUGAUCGGCCACAUUGGGACUGAGACACGGCCCAAACUCCUACGGGAGGCAGCAGUAGGGAAUCUUUCACAAUGGACGCAAGUCUGAUGGAGCAACGCCGCGUGAGUGAAGAAGGUUUUCGGAUCGUAAAGCUCUGUUGUUGGUGAA
This 394-nucleotide ribosomal RNA is filed under the name uncultured Lactobacillus sp. RNAcentral's name for it is "bacterial SSU rRNA". It matches the Rfam family "Bacterial small subunit ribosomal RNA", at positions 68 to 446 of the family's 1533-position model. Lineage: Bacteria; Bacillati; Bacillota; Bacilli; Lactobacillales; Lactobacillaceae. The record is from RNAcentral.